UACAGAGGUCUCAAGCGUUGUUCGGAUUCAUUGGGCGUAAAGGGUGCGUAGGUGGCGCGCUAAGUCGGGUGUGAAAUCUCGGAGCUUAACUCCGAAAUUGCAUUCGAUACUGGCGUGCUUGAGGACUGGAGAGGAGACUGGAAUUCAUGGUGUAGCAGUGAAAUGCGUAGAGAUCAUGAGGAAGACCAGUGGCGAAGGCAGGUCUCUGGACAGCUCCUGACACUGAGGCACGAAGGCCAGGGGAGCAAACGGG
This 253-nucleotide ribosomal RNA is filed under the name uncultured bacterium. RNAcentral describes it as "partial 16S ribosomal RNA". It matches the Rfam family "Bacterial small subunit ribosomal RNA", at positions 524 to 776 of the family's 1533-position model. The record is from RNAcentral.